Non-coding RNA from Oryctolagus cuniculus (rabbit), 1385 nucleotides. The record is from RefSeq and is a predicted model, not a curated record. Lineage: Eukaryota; Metazoa; Chordata; Mammalia; Lagomorpha; Leporidae.
UAUUGCAUCAAAGAGACACAUAUGGUUUGUAUUUAUUUUUUUGGAAGGUGACAGAUCCUGACUCAAAUACUCCAUACUGGCAUCAAAUGAAAAGAAAAAAAGAAAACUAUAAAAGUUGGUGAUGAGCAUGUGUAGAACUGGAACACACUCCUGAACGUGGACCAGAAGCUUCAUUGGAGCUGCCUGAAUGUCAGUGGUGAUUUUGUACAUUUUACAGUCACUUUCAGAAAGUGGGAGUCAUCCUGGCAGAGAUUCAGCUGAAGGAUAGGAGAUACAUCCUAUUAAAUAAUAACCAAAAAUAAUACAUUAAAUCAACAAAAUGUGUAUCUGACCUGAAUAUUCUAUGAACUUUGGGCAAAAUAGAAAGAAUCAUAAAACAAGAGGAACCUCAAAAGAUACUGGAAGAAAAGCUUUCUGUUUUUCAUCACUGAAUGUGUUAUUGUGGGCUUUCCAUAGAUGGACAUUUUUAUGCUGAGGUGAAAUAUCUGAAGAUAAGAAAUAUUUCCCUCAUCACCGUUAUGUUAAUAACUGAUGGGAGUCUGCAUUUGAAUUCAGGUCUCUAACUCCAAGAUCCAUUCUCUUUGUGCUAUCCUUGGUUAUUCAGGAGAAAGGUAGAUGCUUCCUUCAGAGAUGUAAUUAUGAACAUCUUUUAUUGAAACAAAGAGAUUGGGAGCAGGAUGCUUCAACUAGAUUCCACUAGCACCAGAAAUACAACUGAGUUUACAACCAGCAUGUUGGGAGAUGGAGACUUUAAAAUUUGUUUUAUUUUAUCUGGAUAGUUCUAAUAAAAUGUGUUUUCUGUUUAUUGAGAAUUUCACUAGUAAUAUAGCACAAAAAAUGACAAUAGCCUUUAUUUUCUCUGAGCAUUCUGUACAUAUGAUUAAUAUAGUAUUUGUGUUUCUGCAUACCAACUAUAUGUUUACAACUUUGGAUUGAACUAUGAGUUCUACUAGGAGAAGAAUUUUGACUUAUUCCCUUCCUAUCCCUUAUACACAAUCAGUUCCUUUUACAACAAAAAGGAGAACAACUGGUAUUUGCUGAACAAGUGCACUAAACCACCAUAAUCUCAUAUCAAUCUAGUAAAAUAAGGUUUUGGAAUUGCUCUAUAAAUUUCAGAGUAGCCAUUCAAUCAGGGGUCCCCAUACUGUACUGCCUGUUUUUGUAAAUAGUUUUUAUUGGAACACAACCUAGCUUGCUCAUUUGUUAACAUUUUGGCUGAAGUUACUUUCACGUUAAAUUGGCAGAGUGGAGAAGUAGCAAAAGACACCAUUGAAAAUAAUUACUCUGCAAGCUUUUCCUUAGAGAAAAUUUUGUCAACACCUAUAUUAGAAGUUAGUUGUUUGUAUAUUUGGUGGUGUAGUCCUUGAGUGUCAGAAAAAAGGAGA